This 74-nucleotide transfer RNA is filed under the name Mesonia ostreae. RNAcentral describes it as "tRNA-Arg". It matches the Rfam family "tRNA". From Rfam's summary of the family: Transfer RNA (tRNA) molecules are approximately 80 nucleotides in length. Their secondary structure includes four short double-helical elements and three loops (D, anti-codon, and T loops). Lineage: Bacteria; Pseudomonadati; Bacteroidota; Flavobacteriia; Flavobacteriales; Flavobacteriaceae. The record is from RNAcentral. RNAcentral also lists the same sequence under 2 other names.
GGCCUCGUGGCGCAACUGAAUAGCGCAUCAGAUUUCGGCUCUGAGGGUUGGGGGUUUGAAUCCCUCCGAGGUCA